This 408-nucleotide ribosomal RNA is filed under the name Triticum aestivum (bread wheat). Its description in RNAcentral is "partial small subunit ribosomal RNA". Lineage: Eukaryota; Viridiplantae; Streptophyta; Magnoliopsida; Poales; Poaceae. The record is from RNAcentral.
AUGAAGCCUGGCGACGUAUCUGGGCAUUGGUGCUUGAUUGUUCUGAAUUUGAGGUUCCAUCGUUUAGAGUGUCUUGAUUCACUGCGCAAUGAAACUUGGAGUGAUGCAGUUAGAUUCUUAAGGACUAUGACAGAUAACAUAAAGAAGCUUUGGAGGGAGUCCAACGUAGACAGGGCCAAAACGUUCUCGCCGGUGCAUAUUGAUGGUUUGCCUUGCGAGUUUGUCUGCAUGACCUAUCAUUGCCGGGAGGAUGGUGUGAUUGAAAUGUUGGAUUACAGCCACGAAGACAUUCUCGACAUUAGGAAGACUUUUCUGUAUACUUGCGCAACUAGCGAUGUGUUUGAUGUUUACAUAAUGCGUGAGUGGCUGGAUCUUGAUGAGCAUGACUACAGGAUCUUUGGUAGCUAG